CUAGAGCGGCGAACGGGUGAGUAACACGUAGGUAAUCUGCCGUGCGAUUGGGGAUAGCCUGUGGAAACACAGGGUAAUACCGAAUACGACCUUCGGGGGAAAGGCGCUUCGGCGCCGUCGUACGAUGAGCCUGCGGCGCAUUAGUUAGUUGGCGGGGUAACAGCCCACCAAGGCGACGAUGCGUAGCCGACCUGAGAGGGUGAUCGGCCACACUGGGACUGAGAUACGGCCCAGACUCCUACGGGAGGCAGCAGCUAAGAAUCUUCCGCAAUGGACGAAAGUCUGACGGAGCGACGCCGCGUGGAUGAAGAAGGCUUAACGGUUGUAAAAUCCUUUUCUGCGUGAGGAAUAAGCAUCGGAGGCAAUGCCGGUGCGAUGACGGUAGCGCAGGAAUAAGCCCCGGCCAAUUACGUGCCAGCAGCCGCGGUAACACGUAUGGGGCGAGCGUUGUUCGGAAUUAUUGGGCGUAAAGGGCGCGCAGGCGGUCAUACAAGCUUGGUGUGAAAGACCACGGCUCAACGGUGGAAACGCGCUGAGAACUGUAUGACUUGAGUUUCGGAGGGGGAACUGGAAUUCCAGGUGUAGGGGUGACCUCUGUCGAUAUCUGGAAGAACAUCAGUGGCGAAGGCGAGUUCCUGGCCGACAACUGACGCUGAGGCGCGAAAGCGUGGGGAGCG
Molecule: ribosomal RNA, 677 nt
Filed under: uncultured organism
Description: bacterial SSU rRNA
Rfam family: Bacterial small subunit ribosomal RNA
Source: RNAcentral